UUGCCCAGACAACUAGGAUGUUGGCUUAGAAGCAGCCAUCAUUUAAAGAGUGCGUAAUAGCUCACUAGUCGAGUGACACUGCGCCGAAAAUGUACCGGGGCUAAACAUAUUACCGAAGCUGUGGAUUGUCCGUAAGGACAAUGGUAGGAGAGCGUUCUAAGGGCGUUGAAGCAUGAUCGCAAGGACAUGUGGAGCGCUUAGAAGUGAGAAUGCCGGUGUGAGUAGCGAAAGACGGGUGAGAAUCCCGUCCACCGAUUGACUAAGGUUUCCAGAGGAAGGCUCGUCCGCUCUGGGUUAGUCGGGUCCUAAGCUGAGGCCGAUAGGCGUAGGCGAUGGAUAACAGGUUGAUAUUCCUGUACCACCAUUAUUCGUUUUAAGCGAUGGGGGGACGCAGUAGGAUAGGCGAAGCGUACUAUUGGAUUGUACGUCCAAGCAGUAAGACUGAGUGUUAGGCAAAUCCGGCACUCUUAAGGUCAAGCUGUGAUGGGGAGAGGAAAUUGUUUCCUCGAGUCGUUGAUUUCACACUGCCGAGAAAAGCCUCUAGCUAGAAUUGUGGUGCCCGUACCGCAAACCGACACAGGUAGUCAAGAUGAGAAUUCUAAGGUGAGCGAGCGAACUCUCGUUAAGGAACUCGGCAAAAUGACCCCGUAACUUCGGGAGAAGGGGUGCUCUUUAGGGUUAACGCCCAGGAGAGCCGCAGUGAAUAGGCCCAAGCGACUGUUUAUCAAAAACACAGGUCUCUGCUAAACCGUAAGGUGAUGUAUAGGGGCUGACGCCUGCCCGGUGCUGGAAGGUUAAGAGGAGUGGUUAGCUUCUG
Molecule: ribosomal RNA, 817 nt
Filed under: Mammaliicoccus sciuri
Lineage: Bacteria; Bacillati; Bacillota; Bacilli; Caryophanales; Staphylococcaceae
Description: Staphylococcus sciuri partial 23S ribosomal RNA
Rfam family: Bacterial large subunit ribosomal RNA
Source: RNAcentral